This 573-nucleotide ribosomal RNA is filed under the name Triticum aestivum (bread wheat). RNAcentral's name for it is "partial small subunit ribosomal RNA". The record is from RNAcentral. Lineage: Eukaryota; Viridiplantae; Streptophyta; Magnoliopsida; Poales; Poaceae.
AUGCAAUGGCAGUGGGACAAGCAUCAAUCGCGGGACAAAAAUUCACAACAUAUUUUUAUGUUGUCGCGUUCCCCUUCUGAACCAAUAUCAUAUACUUCUGUUAGUGGCGAUCACCUUGAGCAAAUCUGGGACCCCGGAGGCCUUGCGAGCUAUAUAUGCAGUACAUGUGCGUCGACUUCCCUGAUGCAUUACUUGUUUGAAGCUUGGCUUGCAUAUGCGACUCAUAUAUGCACCCAAUUGAGAAUGGAGAAGCCAAUGGCCAGCAGCGAACUAAAUCAGUGGAUGACCAUUCAUUUCUUGCCUGGAACAUGGGAGCUUGAUUGCAGAUUUGACAAGUUCAUAGAGCUACGGGGGUUCUUGCUGCCACUAUAUUGCCAGUCAUGCAAGUCCACGAGGAGCGAAAAAAUCUGUGUGUGGAGCGUACCUGAUGAUCUAGGGAGCUUCACGGUCAUCCAGGAAGACUAUGGGACUUCAGCUUCCAAUCAAGGCACUCUUCAAGGAGGGAGGGGUUUCAUCUCCAGUGCUGUUGUCGUUCGUCGUGCAGGGAUCCAUCAACCACAAGUACUACCUUAA